This 468-nucleotide ribosomal RNA is filed under the name uncultured bacterium. RNAcentral describes it as "partial 16S ribosomal RNA". It matches the Rfam family "Bacterial small subunit ribosomal RNA", at positions 28 to 507 of the family's 1533-position model. The record is from RNAcentral.
GACGAACGCUGGCGGCGUGCUUAACACAUGCAAGUCGAACGGAAAGGCCCUGCUUUUGUGGGGUGCUCGAGUGGCGAACGGGUGAGUAACACGUGAGUAACCUGCCCUUGACUUUGGGAUAAGUUCAGGAAACUGGGGCUAAUACCGGAUAGGAGCUCCUGUUGCAUGGUGGGGGUGGGAAAGUUUCGGCGGUGGGGGAUGGAUUCGCGGCUGAUCAGCUUGUUGGUGGGGUAGUGGAUUACCAAGGGUUGGACGGGUAGCCGGCCUGUGAGGGUGGACGGCCACAUUGGGACUGAGAUACGCCCCAGACUCCUACGGGAGGCAGCAGUGGGGAAUAUUGCACAAUGGGCGGAAGCCUGAUGAAGCAACGCCGCGUGCGGGAUGACGGCCUUCGGGUUGUAAACCGCUUUCGCCUGUGACGAAGCGGGAGUGACGGUAAUGGGUAAAGAAGCACCGGCUAACUACGUG